GUCCACGCCGUAAACUAUGGAUACUAGGUGUCCGGGAUGUAAACCUCCUGGGUACCGAAGCUCACGCAUUAAGUAUCCCGCCUGGGGAGUACGGUCGCAAGACUAAAACUCAAAGGAAUUGACGGGGGCCCGCACAAGCGGUGGAGUAUGUGGUUUAAUUCGAAGCAACGCGCAGAACCUUACCUGGGCUUAACAUCCCCUGACAUCCGCAGAGAUGCGGCUUCCACUUCGGUGGCAGGGAGAUAGGUGCUGCAUGGCUGUCGU
RNAcentral lists this ribosomal RNA (264 nucleotides) under uncultured bacterium. Its description in RNAcentral is "partial 16S ribosomal RNA". It matches the Rfam family "Bacterial small subunit ribosomal RNA", at positions 793 to 1055 of the family's 1533-position model. The record is from RNAcentral.